Molecule: transfer RNA, 75 nt
Filed under: Streptomyces collinus
Lineage: Bacteria; Bacillati; Actinomycetota; Actinomycetes; Kitasatosporales; Streptomycetaceae
Also listed under: 7 other names
Description: tRNA-Gln
Rfam family: tRNA
About the family: Transfer RNA (tRNA) molecules are approximately 80 nucleotides in length. Their secondary structure includes four short double-helical elements and three loops (D, anti-codon, and T loops).
Source: RNAcentral
UCCCCCGUGGUGUAAUCGGCAACACACAUUACUUUGGAUAAUGUAUUUCAGGUUCGAGUCCUGGCGGGGGAGCCA